CAGAAUGGUGGUGUUGAAAGGAAGCAUAGUACCCUUCUUGAAACAUGUAGAGCCUUACUUUUUCAAUCUGGACUACCUGUAUCUUUCUGAGGGGAUUGCCUGUUGACUGCUACUUAUCUCCUUAACAGAAUACCAUCCAGAUUACUUCACAAUAAGUCUCCCAAUGAAAUUUUGUAUGGGAAAGCUCCAUCCUAUUCUCAUUUGAGGGCAUUUGGGUGCCUUGCUUAUGCUACUGCCCCCACUCCUCAAAUGGACAAAUUGAAGCCUAGAGCCCUCUCUUGUGUUUUUCUGGGUUACCCAUUUGCCAAAAAGUGUUAUAAACUGUAUGAUCUGGCUUCCAAGAAAUGUUUUAUCUCCAGAGAUGUUGUAUUCCAUGAAACAUGUUUUCCUUUUAAGAAUAAACCUUCUUCUGCUCAUUCUUCUCCUUCAUUCCUUGAUUUUAUUCCUCCUGCUGAGCAUUCCACUGACACCACCUUUCCUAUACAUGCUUCCUCUCCUACUUCCCCUACAUCUGUUCCAGCCCCUAAUUCUACUGUUCCUGAUUUUACUGAUACUGAUCCAUCUCCCCUUCCUUCUUUCAAUCCUGAUAUCUCUCCUCCUGUUUUACCUUCUUCACAAUCUCUUCCUGCUCCUAGAAAAUCCACUAGACAGCAUAAUCCUCCUUCCUAUCUUAAGGAUUAUGUCUGCCAACUCCCUGCCUUUUCUGGAUCCUCUUCACCUUCUUCCCAACCUCUUCCUGUUCCUAGAACAUCCACUAGACAGCAUAAUCCUCCAUCCUAUCUUAAAGAUUAUGUCUGUCAACUUCCUGCCUUUUCUGGAUCCUCUUCUUCUAUUUUGGAAUCUGAACCUUUAUAUUACUCUCAAGCUGCAUCUGUUCCAGCAUGGCAGGAUGCCAUGAGACAGGAGUUUGAUGCUUUGGAAGCAAACCAAACCUGGGAUGUUGUUCCCCUUCCUCUUGGUAAGAAACCCAUUGGCCGUAAAUGGGUCUAUAAAAUUAAAUACAAGGCUGAUGGUACUGUUGAAAGGUACAAAGCUAGGCUUGUUAUUAGGGGUGAUACUCAAGUUGAAGGGAUUGACUUUACUGACACCUUUUCUCCUGUGAUUAAAAUGACUACUGUGAAAUGUCUCAUUGCUGUGGCUGUCAAGAAUCACUGGCCUCUGUUUCAACUUGAUGUCAAUAAUGCUUUUCUACAUGGUGAUUUGGAUGAGGAAGUUUAUAUGAGUACUGACACCUUUUCUCCUGUGAUUAAAAUGACCACUGUGAAAUGUCUCAGUGCUGUGGCUGUCAAGAAUCACUGGCCUCUGUUUCAACUUGAUGUCAAUAAUGCUUUUCUACAUGGUGAUUUGGAUGAAGAAGUUUAUAUGAAAAUUCCCCCAGGUUUGAUAGUCUCUGCUCCUCUUUUUGGUUCUGUUUCUUCUACAUCUUCUACUCCUUCUCCUCUGGUUUGUAAGCUCAAGAAAUCCCUAUAUGGGCUGAGACAAACAUCCAUACAAUGGUAUGCCAAGUUGUCUUCUGCUCUUUAUUCCAGAGGGUACACACAUUCUUUGAAUGACUAUUCUCUGUUCAUCAAAGGAAAACCUAGGGCCCUUGUGAUUGUGGCAGUCUAUGUGGAUGAUAUUAUUAUUACUUAGGAUGACAGUGAUGAGAUUACUGCCCUUAAACUGUUUCUGGAUGAUCAGUCUAAAAUCAAAGACCUAGGGUCUUUGCAUUGUUUUUUGGGCCUUGAAAUGUCAGUUGUUCCUGGUGGAAUGAUCCUUAAUCAGCAUAAGUAUGUUUCUGAUUUACUGCAUCAGUUUGAUUGUACAAAUGUAUCCAAUGUUGUUUGUCCUUUGGAUAUUAAUGUCAAACUUCAUGCUGAUUCUGGUGACCAUUUACCCUCUCUUGAUCAGUAUAGGAGUCUUGUUGGUAAGCUGUUAUUUCUGACUCAUUCUAGGCCUGACAUAUGCUUUGCGGUUCAACAUCUGAGUCAAUUCCUAAAAUCCCCCAGACUUCCCCAUAUGACUGCUGCUCUACAUGUUUUGAGAUACCUUAAGGGCACUCCUUCUAUGGGUCUCUUUUAUUCUGCCAGUGAUGAUUUCUCCGUUGUUGGUUAUUCUGAUAGUGACUGGGCUGCAUGCCCUGAUACUAGGAGAUCUGUUACUGGAUUUUCUGUGCUAUUGGGUAGUUGCCUGAUUAGUUG
This 2180-nucleotide long non-coding RNA is filed under the name Nicotiana benthamiana. RNAcentral's name for it is "long non-coding RNA (NBEN_LNC034838)". The record is from RNAcentral. Lineage: Eukaryota; Viridiplantae; Streptophyta; Magnoliopsida; Solanales; Solanaceae.